UGGGGAAUAUUGCACAAUGGGCGCAAGCCUGAUGCAGCCAUGCCGCGUGUAUGAACAAGGCCAUCGGGUUGUAAAGCACUUGCAGCGGGGAGGAAGGGAGUAAAGUUAAUACCUUUGCUCAUUGACGUUACCUGCAGAAGAAGCACCGGCUAACUCCGUG
Molecule: ribosomal RNA, 160 nt
Filed under: uncultured bacterium
Lineage: Bacteria
Description: partial 16S ribosomal RNA
Rfam family: Bacterial small subunit ribosomal RNA
Source: RNAcentral